Lotus japonicus is the source of this 1705-nucleotide long non-coding RNA. RefSeq lists it as uncharacterized. The transcript is spliced from 3 exons. The record is from RefSeq and is a predicted model, not a curated record. Lineage: Eukaryota; Viridiplantae; Streptophyta; Magnoliopsida; Fabales; Fabaceae.
UUCUCUUCACUCCCAUCUUCUUCAUUUUCUUUUCUCCCCAGCAAACCUUCCUUUCUUCCCUCCCUCCCAUAGCUGCACCAUUUCCUUCUUCUUUUCUUCAUGAAACACUAACAUCAUCACCGUUUCUUCUGCUUUUUCUCCAUUAACUAAACAGCACCACGAGCCUCCCUUGCUGCCAAGAAGCAACACCUUCGGGUGCCUUCCUCUGUUUCCUCUGUUUCGAACAGCCAGGGCCACCUUUCCUUCCACCGAGAGCAACCGCCACCACCUUGUGUCUCCAUCAAUGCGAGAACCAGCCUCAUUCUUCUUCUUCAUGAUGACAGCACCCAUACAACCUUGAUCUCUUCACGUUGCAGCACCACAAAUCACCAACAUCAUCAUGUUUUCCUCUCCCUCUUGCAGCCGCUGAUCACACCAUCACCAUCACCAUGGUUUUCUCCUUAUAUGGCCAGCAAAGAAUCACCACCGCUAGCCAUAGCACCACCAACACCAUGCCAUGCUCCAAUUUCUUCUUCACCAAGAUCACCAUGUUUGAGACGUGCAAGCUUGGGACUCGAGGAAAUUGGAACGCUUGAGGAAAGGCGAAGGAGAAAGAAAUAUUGGCUAAGGCCCUAACAGGUGUGUCUCUGAGGAGCUGUUGAUUGCAGCAAGAAGGUGAUUGGACUGAUUGACGAUGAGACUUCCUUGGAGUGAGUGAACCAACCGAAGACUUGUGGAAGUAAUAGUUAGAUGUAAGGCUAGAGCCUUGGGUAGAGAAGCUUACCGUCAUUGGUUGAAGCUCGUAGGGAUGAUUGUAUUACUUACUUUGGUCUGGGUAGGUUUCGAUGCAUUACUCUUCUGCGAAUCUCCAGUGAGGGGAUUGUAGGAAGUAUAUUGGACUUAGGGUGUUAUCACAUUUUGAACUUUGUUGUCGGUUAAGACAUUACUUCACUGUAUAUUUUAUACGUCUUGAACAUCCGUCGUCACUCACGGGUGCUUGCCUUAUCAAGGCCGGAUGUAAGGGUUUGGGUAAGAGUAUACAUAUCAGGUUUUGGAAAUGUUUUGGAAAGAAAGCAAACGAAAAAAAAUAUACCCGCUUUUAUUAAAUCCUUGUUGGAAAAUAAUUCCAUUUUAUUUAAUAGGUUACUAAUUGUGACUCCCGAAAGUCGGGGUGUUACAUAAUUCCUUCUGCUGCUUAUUUUAUCUGUAUCGUUGAGUUUUGUUCGAUGCAUGAAAUAAGACUCUAGGUUGACUAUUAGAGCCCUAAUAAAGAGAAUUGAGACCUAAUCGCUUGCAAGUAAAAUGUGAUGUAAUUGGAACAUAGGUCUAGUGAUGACUAUGGACCAUGAGAAUGAUGGUACCGUUAGAGACAAACGGUUACUUGCACGCGAGGGUGUUUGUGGGUUAUACGGUGUGUCCCCACGUGAUUAGGUUGACUGCGGUGACCCUGUGAUCUUGUGGAUGUACGGUGUUUCCCCCACAUGAUCGAGGGUUGUACGGUGUGUCCCCUCCGAGAAUUGUUCAUCUGCGGAUGAUUGUGAUUAUGGCCAUUGGUGUUGAGGUGGUUGUGUGAAUGGUGAGGUCGUUAGCCUAACUGAACUUAGGUGACUGACUGUGAUUAUGCUUAUUAUACCUUGUUAUUUAUGAGAAUACAUGAACAUGUGAAUGUUUCUAUGAGAACAUGUGAUCUGACCCUGUUAUUUGUUUAUGUGUUUAUUUGGGGGGG